GUUCGAUUCAUGGCUCAAGAUUGAACGCUGGCGGGAUGCUUUACACAUGCAGUCAGACGGCAGCACGGACUUCGGUCUGGUGGCGAGUGGCGAACGGGUAGGUAAUGUAUCCGGAACGUGCCUAGUGGCGAAAAGGGGGAUAACUACGCAGCGUAGCUAAUACCUCAUGCGCCCUUCGAGAAAGCGGGGGACCUUCGGCCUCGCUGCUAAUAGGCGGCCGAUAUCGGAUUGGCUAGUUGGGUAGGGUAACGGCUCACAAAGGCGACGAUCCGCCAGCUGGUUUUGAGAGGACGACCAGCCACACUGGGACUGAGACACGGCCCAGACUCCUGCAGGAGAGCAACAGUGGGAAUUUUGGACAGUAAACCACAGUCCAGCCAUCCCGCGUGUGCGAUAGAGGCCUUGAGUUUACCGCUGCACAACAGAAAACGCCUGAGAUAAUGCCCGAAAUGCGGCUGGCCGACGCCUGGGGGCUCAUACCGGCUAACUACGUGCCAGCAGCCGCGGUAAUGCGUGAAAUUACGCAUUAAUCAAGGUCUGAUAAACAUCGCGCGACGGUUCGGAAAGAAAGAUGCCAAAAUCCCGAAACGCUGGAACUACGCUACCAAACUAAAUGUGUCAGGAGGUGCGAUUCGCGAUGUAGCGGUGAAAUGCGUAGAUAUAAUGCGGAAGGCACUACCGAUUAAGCAAUGACUAUCCUCACGAAGAUGUUGCAACAUGCGCCACUUUAAGUCGGAGAGCAAACAGGUUGAAUCUCUGGUAAUCCACGCUUACCGGCGAUAUCAGCAACUGUUGAGACCUUCGGGCCUUAGUAGCGCAACUAACGCGUAAGUGUACCUGCAAGGAAGUACGGUCGCAAGAUUAAAACUCAGGAAUUGACGGGGACCCGCACAAACGGUGGAUGAAGAUGUGGGUCGAAUUCGAUGCAGCGCGAAAGAGCCUUACUGCCGCUUGACAUGUCUGGAAUCCCGAAGAUUUGGGUGCUCUCAAAGGCGGGCACGGUGCUGCAUGGCUGUCGUCCAGCCGUGUCGUAGAAUGUUAGGUUAAGUCCGCAACAGGCGCAACCCUUGUCAUUAGUUGCUGCGAAGGGCCUCUAAUGCGAACCCUCAAAUGACAAACCGGGAAGGUGAGAUGACGUCAAGUCCUCAUGGCCCAUAUGGGUGAGGGCUACGUCAUACAAUGGUCGGGACGAAAGAUCGCCAACCCGCGGGGGCCAAUCCCAGAAAACCCGAUCGUAGUCCGGAUCACCAGUCUGCAACUCGACUGCGUGAAGUCGGAAUCGCUGGUAAUCAUAUGCAGAUCAGCAUGUCACUUAUUGAAUACGUUCGGGUCUUAUCCCACCGCCCGUCACACCGUAGGAAUUAGGUUUUAAGAAGUAAUUCAACCACAACUGCAUCGAGGCAUUCACAGUAGGAUUCAUGACUAAGAAGAGGUGAAGUCGUAACAAAGACAG
RNAcentral lists this ribosomal RNA (1453 nucleotides) under uncultured Bordetella sp. Its description in RNAcentral is "partial 16S-23S ribosomal RNA intergenic spacer". It matches the Rfam family "Bacterial small subunit ribosomal RNA". The record is from RNAcentral. Lineage: Bacteria; Pseudomonadati; Pseudomonadota; Betaproteobacteria; Burkholderiales; Alcaligenaceae.